RNAcentral lists this ribosomal RNA (629 nucleotides) under uncultured bacterium. RNAcentral's name for it is "bacterial SSU rRNA". It matches the Rfam family "Bacterial small subunit ribosomal RNA", at positions 8 to 628 of the family's 1533-position model. The record is from RNAcentral.
AGGGUUUGAUCCUGGCUCAGAUUGAACGCUGGCGGCAGGCCUAACACAUGCAAGUCGAGCGGUAACAGAGAUAGCUUGCUAUUUGCUGACGAGCGGCGGACGGGUGCGUAACACGUAGGAAUCUGCCCGGUAGAGGGGGAUAGCCCGAAGAAAUUCGGAUUAAUACCGCAUACGCCCUAAUGGGGAAAGCAGGGGAUCUUCGGACCUUGCGCUAUCGGAUGAGCCUGCGUCGGAUUAGCUUGUUGGUGAGGUAAAGGCUCACCAAGGCGACGAUCCGUAGCUGGUCUGAGAGGAUGAUCAGCCACACUGGGACUGAGACACGGCCCAGACUCCUACGGGAGGCAGCAGUGGGGAAUAUUGCACAAUGGGCGCAAGCCUGAUGCAGCCAUGCCGCGUGUGUGAAGAAGGCUCUAGGGUUGUAAAGCACUUUCGGCGAGGAGGAAAGGUAUAAGGUUAAUACCCUUGUGCUGUGACGUUACUCGCANAAGAAGCACCGGCUAACUCCGUGCCAGCAGCCGCGGUAAUACGGAGGGUGCGAGCGUUAAUCGGAAUUACUGGGCGUAAAGCGUGCGUAGGCGGCUAUUUAAGUGGGAUGUGAAAUCCCCGGGCUUAACCUGNGAACUGCNUCC